Molecule: ribosomal RNA, 832 nt
Filed under: uncultured bacterium
Lineage: Bacteria
Description: bacterial SSU rRNA
Rfam family: Bacterial small subunit ribosomal RNA
Source: RNAcentral
AGUCGAACGAAGCACUUUAACCUGAUUCUUCGGAUGAAGGUUUUUGUGACUGAGUGGCGGACGGGUGAGUAACGCGUGGGUAACCUGCCUCAUACAGGGGGAUAACAGUUAGAAAUGACUGCUAAUACCGCAUAAGACCACGGAGCCGCAUGGCUCAGUGGGAAAAACUCCGGUGGUAUGAGAUGGACCCGCGUCUGAUUAGGUAGUUGGUGGGGUAACGGCCUACCAAGCCAACGAUCAGUAGCCGACCUGAGAGGGUGACCGGCCACAUUGGGACUGAGACACGGCCCAAACUCCUACGGGAGGCAGCAGUGGGGAAUAUUGCACAAUGGGGGAAACCCUGAUGCAGCGACGCCGCGUGAGCGAAGAAGUAUUUCGGUAUGUAAAGCUCUAUCAGCAGGGAAGAAAAUGACGGUACCUGACUAAGAAGCACCGGCUAAAUACGUGCCAGCAGCCGCGGUAAUACGUAUGGUGCAAGCGUUAUCCGGAUUUACUGGGUGUAAAGGGAGCGUAGACGGCUGUGUAAGUCUGAAGUGAAAGCCCGGGGCUCAACCCCGGGACUGCUUUGGAAACUAUGCAGCUAGAGUGUCGGAGAGGUAAGUGGAAUUCCCAGUGUAGCGGUGAAAUGCGUAGAUAUUGGGAGGAACACCAGUGGCGAAGGCGGCUUACUGGACGAUGACUGACGUUGAGGCUCGAAAGCGUGGGGAGCAAACAGGAUUAGAUACCCUGGUAGUCCACGCCGUAAACGAUGACUACUAGGUGUCGGGGAGCAAAGCUCUUCGGUGCCGCAGCAAACGCAAUAAGUAGUCCACCUGGGGAGUACGUUCGCAAG